UGGGGAAUAUUGCACAAUGGGCGCAAGCCUGAUGCAGCCAUGCCGCGUGUGUGAAGAAGUCCUUCGGGUUGUAAAGCACUUUCAGCGGGGAGGAAGGCGAUAAGGUUAAUAACCUCAUCGAUUGACGUUACCCGCAGAAGAAGCACCGGCUAACUCCGUGCCAGCAGCCGCGGUAAUACGGAGGGUGCAAGCGUUAAUCGGAAUUACUGGGCGUAAAGCGCACGCAGGCGGUUUGUUAAGUCAGAUGUGAAAUCCCCGGGCUCAACCUGGGAACUGCAUCUGAUACUGGCAAGCUUGAGUCUCGUAGAGGGGGGUAGAAUUCCAGGUGUAGCGGUGAAAUGCGUAGAGAUCUGGGGGAAUACCGGUGGCGAAGGCGGCCCCCUGGACGAAGACUGACGCUCAGGUGCGAAAGCGUGGGGAGCAAACAGG
This 429-nucleotide ribosomal RNA is filed under the name Chloroflexota bacterium. Its description in RNAcentral is "Chloroflexi bacterium partial 16S ribosomal RNA". It matches the Rfam family "Bacterial small subunit ribosomal RNA", at positions 355 to 776 of the family's 1533-position model. Lineage: Bacteria; Bacillati; Chloroflexota. The record is from RNAcentral.